Non-coding RNA from Daucus carota subsp. sativus, 95 nucleotides. The record is from Rfam. Lineage: Eukaryota; Viridiplantae; Streptophyta; Magnoliopsida; Apiales; Apiaceae.
AAGUCUUAAGUGAGGAUUAGAGGGAACUAAACAUGCAGCAUUGUUGUUUGAUUACACUUUAUGUUUAGUUUCCUCUAAUAUCUUACCUGUGGCUU